Molecule: ribosomal RNA, 436 nt
Filed under: uncultured Desulfobulbus sp.
Lineage: Bacteria; Pseudomonadati; Thermodesulfobacteriota; Desulfobulbia; Desulfobulbales; Desulfobulbaceae
Description: bacterial SSU rRNA
Rfam family: Bacterial small subunit ribosomal RNA
Source: RNAcentral
CGAUGCAACGCGAAGAACCUUACCUGGUCUUGACAUCCCGGAGACCCUUAGGAAACUAGGGGUGCUUCCAUCUGGAAGAAUCUGGAGACAGGUGCUGCAUGGCUGUCGUCAGCUCGUGUCGUGAGAUGUUGGGUUAAGUCCCCGCAACGAGCGCAACCCUUGCCUUUAGUUGCCAGCAGUUCGGCUGGGCACUCUAAAGGGACUGCCGGUGUUAAACCGGAGGAAGGUGGGGAUGACGUCAAGUCCUCAUGGCCUUUAUGACCAGGGCUACACACGUACUACAAUGGCCGAUACAAAGGGCAGCGACACUGCGAGGUGAAGCCAAUCCCGUAAAAUCGGUCUCAGUCCGGAUUGGAGUCUGCAACUCGACUCCAUGAAGUUGGAAUCGCUAGUAAUCGUGGAUCAGCAUGCCACGGUGAAUACGUUCCCGGGCCUU